CCCAGAGGCCAUCUUGGGCUCUUUGCAGGUGACAGCGGGCCUGCCAACUUGCGGAUCUCCUCGGGACGGGGACGCCCUUCUGCAAUUACUUCCCUGCGAUUGAGUGUACGCUGGCCAUUCAGGCAACAGAUCUUGUCAUGGCAUUCCUGAAACCAGGAUGAGCUUACUACUUUGUAAAAAGUCUGUACCAGAAACAAAGGGAAAUGUCUCAUUCUCUAGUGGCCUGCUCAUCUACCUGCAGCAAAACAUGCAAGUCACAAUGAGGAUGCUUUUACUUUGGAGAUCAUAAAAUGUGGCCUUUUCUCGUCAUAACCUCAAGAAAACCCUUGAAGUAUACUUUUUAAUCAUGGAAAAGUAAAUAAAGGAAUAAAACUACAGUGAAGACCAAUGUUAUGAAUUGCUACAGUCCUUGUUUCCCCAGUGAAUAAUAUAGAGAGCAGCUGAUGACAGGUCUAUCCUGCAGCACUGUCUUCAUUCAGAAUGCUCUGGAGUCACUGGAAUUCUCUCUGUUUAAUAUGGUAUGAGAGCUGAGACUGUUCAGCCUGGAGAAGAGAAGGCUGAGGGCAGGUCUUAUCACUGUAUAUAAGCAUCUGAAGGGAGGGUGUGGAGAUGAUGGGGCCAGACUCUUCUCAGUAGUGCCCAGUGAUAGCUAUGAAGCAAGCAGUAUGGAUGGUCAGUAGUCCAGGACUCAGGCUUGCAUCCUGCCCUUGAUUAAUGUGGUAGAAUAGAUCUAAUCUGUAAAUUUUAAUCUGUCCCUUUUCUAACGGAAUUAAUAUUUGGGAAUGGUCUGUUAAUCCUUCACCUGAUAUAACAAGCUCUGCCUCUAAUAUAUUGAAAUGUUUUCAGAUUUCUCAUCAAAGCUAGUUUUUAUCAGAUAAAUUACCAGUUCAGGGGAAGUCUAUUGAAAUGAAUUGAAUGAAUAGAAUACUUAGGUGAAAGGAAAGGUGGAGACAAAAAACAACUAAACAAACCAACCU
Dromaius novaehollandiae (emu) is the source of this 977-nucleotide long non-coding RNA. RefSeq lists it as uncharacterized. Lineage: Eukaryota; Metazoa; Chordata; Aves; Casuariiformes; Dromaiidae. The record is from RefSeq and is a predicted model, not a curated record. The transcript is spliced from 5 exons.